UGGUGCACCAGUUGUCGUGCCAACGGCACAGCUGGGUAGCUACGUCUGGACGAGAUAAACGCUGAAGGCAUCUAAGCGUGAAACUCCCCCUAAGAUAAGAUCUCCCAUCCGAAAGGAGUAAGGGUCGAAGAAGACUACUUCGUUGAUAGGCCAGCGGUGUACGCACAGCAAUGUGUUCAGCCUACUGGUACUAAUAACCCGAGGGCUUGACCUA
RNAcentral lists this ribosomal RNA (214 nucleotides) under Candidatus Limivicinus faecipullorum. RNAcentral describes it as "partial 23S ribosomal RNA". It matches the Rfam family "Bacterial large subunit ribosomal RNA", at positions 2710 to 2925 of the family's 2925-position model. Lineage: Bacteria; Bacillati; Bacillota; Clostridia; Eubacteriales. The record is from RNAcentral.